RNAcentral lists this ribosomal RNA (372 nucleotides) under Arthrobacter sp. 9.29ST-BP. RNAcentral describes it as "bacterial SSU rRNA". It matches the Rfam family "Bacterial small subunit ribosomal RNA", at positions 407 to 791 of the family's 1533-position model. Lineage: Bacteria; Bacillati; Actinomycetota; Actinomycetes; Micrococcales; Micrococcaceae. The record is from RNAcentral.
GAUGACGGCCUUCGGGUUGUAAACCUCUUUCAGUAGGGAAGAAGCGAAAGUGACGGUACCUGCAGAAGAAGCGCCGGCUAACUACGUGCCAGCAGCCGCGGUAAUACGUAGGGCGCAAGCGUUAUCCGGAAUUAUUGGGCGUAAAGAGCUCGUAGGCGGUUUGUCGCGUCUGCUGUGAAAGACCGGGGCUCAACUCCGGUUCUGCAGUGGGUACGGGCAGACUAGAGUGAUGUAGGGGAGACUGGAAUUCCUGGUGUAGCGGUGAAAUGCGCAGAUAUCAGGAGGAACACCGAUGGCGAAGGCAGGUCUCUGGGCAUUAACUGACGCUGAGGAGCGAAAGCAUGGGGAGCGAACAGGAUUAGAUACCCUGGU